AUGGAGUUCCCUGCUGCGCUCAAGUGCGCCGCCGUCGCAACCGAGCUCGUCGGAACUGCGUUCGGGCUCAUAACCAACAUCAAUCAGGCGCUUGAGAAGGCACGCCAAAACAAGGCGGACUACCAACACCUCAAGCAGCGCCUGCCGACGAUCGGCUACGUGCUGCAUCGCCUGCCGCCGGACCCGGAGUUGGAGCCGCUGCUUGCCCCGCUGAUCAACAUGCUGCAAGAGGCGUACGACGUGCUGGUCAGUUGCCAGAAGCGGAGCUCCACCAACCAGCUCAUCCGGGCUAGCAUCCAUGCCGACAGGUUAAGAUGCUGGAGCCCUGGAGCCAGACGCCACCGUCGACGACGACCCCUACUACACCGGAGGUGCCCCUACUACGUGCAGCCCGCUGACGACGACCUGGAGUAG
Molecule: ribosomal RNA, 414 nt
Filed under: Triticum aestivum (bread wheat)
Lineage: Eukaryota; Viridiplantae; Streptophyta; Magnoliopsida; Poales; Poaceae
Description: partial small subunit ribosomal RNA
Source: RNAcentral